Molecule: ribosomal RNA, 483 nt
Filed under: Triticum aestivum (bread wheat)
Lineage: Eukaryota; Viridiplantae; Streptophyta; Magnoliopsida; Poales; Poaceae
Description: partial small subunit ribosomal RNA
Source: RNAcentral
AUGAAGCUUGGAAAGGAGGAGGAAGCCGGCGACACACGAGGAACCAUGCUUCUCUCGCGGGUUUGCGAGCUCAUUGAUCCGAACAACAGUGAAUGGGACGAGGGGCUCGUGCAUCAAGCGCCCAGUUCAGAGGAUGCCGAGGAAAUUCUGAGGAUACCUAUCAGUGAUCAAGUUGAAGACUUUCUAGCCCGGCAUUUUGACAACAAGGGAGUUUUUUCAGUUAAAAGUCUCUUUGAAGAUGGCGGGCAUCUAUUUUUCAACUGCAAGGAGGUAAUCUGUGGCGUGCUUUGGAGAUGGAGGAUGUACGUCUCGUUGCACUUCCGUAGGAUCGGCAACGGACAGGGGUGGUGCAUGUUGCUGUGGUGCUGGUCGUCCGCGAGAAACAAUGAGAAUCGCAACAAAAACGCAGACGAACAGAGGAGCCGCAGUUUCUUAUCAGGCAGCAUGCUACUGAGUGGAAAGCCCGAAAUAAAACAUGCAUAA